Molecule: ribosomal RNA, 465 nt
Filed under: Vreelandella stevensii
Lineage: Bacteria; Pseudomonadati; Pseudomonadota; Gammaproteobacteria; Oceanospirillales; Halomonadaceae
Description: partial 16S ribosomal RNA
Rfam family: Bacterial small subunit ribosomal RNA
Source: RNAcentral
CCUACGGGGGGCUGCAGUGGGGAAUAUUGGACAAUGGGGGGAACCCUGAUCCAGCCAUGCCGCGUGUGUGAAGAAGGCCCUCGGGUUGUAAAGCACUUUCAGUGAGGAAGAACGCCUGGUGGUUAAUACCCAUCAGGAAAGACAUCACUCACAGAAGAAGCACCGGCUAACUCCGUGCCAGCAGCCGCGGUAAUACGGAGGGUGCGAGCGUUAAUCGGAAUUACUGGGCGUAAAGCGCGCGUAGGUGGCUUGAUGAGCCGGUUGUGAAAGCCCCGGGCUCAACCUGGGAACGGCAUCCGGAACUGUCAAGCUAGAGUGCAGGAGAGGAAGGUAGAAUUCCCGGUGUAGCGGUGAAAUGCGUAGAGAUCGGGAGGAAUACCAGUGGCGAAGGCGGCCUUCUGGACUGACACUGACACUGAGGUGCGAAAGCGUGGGUAGCAAACAGGAUUAGAUACCCCGGUAGUC